UAGCUUGCUAUGGUAUAACUUAGUGGCAGACGGGUGAGUAAUGUAUAGGAAUCUACCUAGUAGUACGGAAUGAUUGUUGGAAACGGCAACUAAUACCGUAUACGCCUACGGGGAAAGAUUUAUUGCUAUUAGAUGAGCCUAUAUUAGAUUAGCUAGUUGGUAAGGUAAUGGCUUACCAAGGCAAUGAUCUAUAGCUGAUCUGAGAGGAUGAUCAGCCACACUGGAACUGAGAUACGGUCCAG
This 242-nucleotide ribosomal RNA is filed under the name uncultured bacterium. RNAcentral describes it as "partial 16S ribosomal RNA". It matches the Rfam family "Bacterial small subunit ribosomal RNA", at positions 76 to 334 of the family's 1533-position model. The record is from RNAcentral.